UUGUUUGAUGGCUGAGAAUAUAAGCGGUAGACUGUAGAUCUAUUUACGGAAUUAGAUUUCCUCAACAAA
Molecule: transfer RNA, 69 nt
Filed under: Monoplex parthenopeus
Lineage: Eukaryota; Metazoa; Mollusca; Gastropoda; Littorinimorpha; Ranellidae
Description: tRNA-Tyr
Rfam family: tRNA
About the family: Transfer RNA (tRNA) molecules are approximately 80 nucleotides in length.
Source: RNAcentral